UAAGUGUCUGAAAAGAAGAGGUGAAGC
This 27-nucleotide non-coding RNA is filed under the name Rattus norvegicus (Norway rat). The record is from RNAcentral. Lineage: Eukaryota; Metazoa; Chordata; Mammalia; Rodentia; Muridae.